Molecule: ribosomal RNA, 226 nt
Filed under: uncultured bacterium
Lineage: Bacteria
Description: partial 16S ribosomal RNA
Rfam family: Bacterial small subunit ribosomal RNA
Source: RNAcentral
GCGUUAAUCGGAAUUACUGGGCGUAAAGGGCGCGUAGGCGGUUAAUUAAGUUAGAUGUGAAAUCCCCGGGCUCAACCUGGGAACUGCAUAUAAUACUGAUUAGCUAGAGUAGAAUAGAGGGAAGUGGAAUUUCCGGUGUAGCGGUGAAAUGCGUAGAUAUCGGAAAGAACACCAGUGGCGAAGGCGACUUCCUGGAUUCAUACUGACGCUGAGGCGCGAAAGCAUG